Molecule: ribosomal RNA, 654 nt
Filed under: Sarcocystis hjorti
Lineage: Eukaryota; Apicomplexa; Conoidasida; Eucoccidiorida; Sarcocystidae
Description: SSU rRNA
Rfam family: Eukaryotic small subunit ribosomal RNA
Source: RNAcentral
CUCAGGGAGGUAGUGACAAGAAAUAACAACACUGGAAAUUUUAUUUCUAGUGAUUGGAAUGAUGAGAAUUUAAACCCCUUUCAGAGUAACAAUUGGAGGGCAAGUCUGGUGCCAGCAGCCGCGGUAAUUCCAGCUCCAAUAGCGUAUAUUAAAGUUGUUGCAGUUAAAAAGCUCGUAGUUGGAUGUCUGCUGGAAGCAAUCAGUCCGCCCUAUUUGUAGGGUGUGCACUUGAUGAAUUCUGGCAUCUAUGUCCUAAUGUGAUAGAUACGGCGGUGUAUAUGGGUUAAUCCUAUAUACCCGUUUUUGUAUAUUAUAUUGGGAUAAUACCGUUACUUUGAGAAAAUUAGAGUGUUUGAAGCAGGCUAAUUGCCUUGAAUACUGCAGCAUGGAAUAACAAUAUAGGAUUUCGGUUCUAUUUUGUUGGUUUCUAGGACUGAAAUAAUGAUUAAUAGGGACAGUUGGGGGCAUUCGUAUUUAACUGUCAGAGGUGAAAUUCUUAGAUUUGUUAAAGACGAACUACUGCGAAAGCAUUUGCCAAAGAUGUUUUCAUUAAUCAAGAACGAAAGUUAGGGGCUCGAAGACGAUCAGAUACCGUCGUGGUCUUAACCAUAAACUAUGCCGACUAGAGAUAGGAAAAUGUCAUUUUUCUGACUU